ACCCAGCUGACGAGUCCUAAGUACGACGAAACGCGCGUCCUGUAU
Schistosoma mattheei is the source of this 45-nucleotide non-coding RNA. The record is from Rfam. NCBI's taxonomy places the organism in Eukaryota, Metazoa, Platyhelminthes, Trematoda, Strigeidida, Schistosomatidae.